GGGAAUAGGGCUCUGGUCUAAAGUAGUGCACUAGAUAGGGAAUAGGGCUCUGGUCUAUAGUAGUGUCCUAUAUAGGGAAUAGGGCUCUGGUCUAAAGUAGUGCACUAGAUAGGGAAUAGGGCUCUGGUCUAAAGUAGUGCACUAGAUAGGGAAUAGGGCUCUGGUCUAAAGUAGUGCACUAGAUAGGGAAUAGGGCUCUGGUCUAAAGUAGUGCACUAGAUAGGGAAUAGGGCUCUGGUCUAAAGUAGUGCACUAGAUAGGGAAUAGGGCUCUGGUCUAUAGUAGUGCACUAGAUAGGGAAUAGGGCUCUGGUCUAUAGUAGUGCACUAGAUAGGGAAUAGAGCUCUGGUCUAAAGUAGUGCACUAUAUAGGGAAUAGAGCUCUGGUCUAAAGUAGUGCACUAUAUAGGGAAUAGGGCUCUGGUCUAUAGUAGUACCACUAUAUAGGGAAUAGGGCUCUGGUCUAUAGUAGUGCACUAUAUAGGGAAUAGGGUGCCAUAUGGGAGUCACCUUACUCAGUCACAACACAGUACAAAGUUGGGUCAAAUUGAGGUGUUGAUGUUGGUCACCACUCACCUGGAGAGAGAGGUAGGACGUCGAGGGUUCUAGGAGACAGCGACGGAGAAGACACUGCAAGGACACAGUACGUCAGGUAACACACGCAGGCACACAGACUCACGGAGGCACACAGACUCACGGAGGCACACAGACUCACGCAGGCACACAGACUCACGCAGGCACACAGAGUCACGGACACACAGAGUCACGGACACACAGAGUCACGGACACACAGAGUCACAGAGUCACGGGCACACAGAGUCACGGACAUACAGAGUCACGGACACACAGACUCACGGACACACAGAGUCACGGACACACAGACUCGCGGACACACAGACUCACGGACACACAGAGUCACGGACACACAGACUCACGGACACACAGACUCACGGACACACAGAGUCACGGACACACAGACUCACGGACACACAGAGUCACGAACACACAGAGUCACAGACACAGAGUCACGGACACACAGACUCACGGACACACAGAGUCACGGACACACAGACUCACGGACACACAGACUCACGGACACACAGACUCACGCACACACACGCAGGCACACAGACUCACGGACACACAGAGUCACGGACACACAGACUCACGGACACACAGACUCACGGACACACAGAGUCACGGACACACAGACUCAUGGACACACAGAGUCACGAACACACAGAGUCACAGACACAGAGUCACGGACACACAGCCUCACGGACACACAGAGUCACGGACACACAGACUCACGGACACACAGACUCACAGACACACAGAGUCACGGACACACAGACUCACGGACACACAGACUCACAGACACACAGAGUCACGGACACACAGAGUCACAGACACAGAGUCACGGACACACAGACUCACGGACACACAGAGUCACGGACACACAGACUCACGGACACACAGACUCACAGACACACAGAGUCACGGACACACAGAGUCACGGACACACAUGUUCCUCCACUGUUGGAGCUAGAAACAAGCAUUUUGCUCCACUGUAGGAGCUAGAAACAGAUGCAUUUUGCUCCACUGUUGGAGCUAGAAACAGACGCAUUUUGCUAAACUUUGUACGCUACCAAUGAACUUUGAUUUGACUCACGGACACACACACACUCACUCAGU
Oncorhynchus tshawytscha (Chinook salmon) is the source of this 1694-nucleotide long non-coding RNA. The record is from Ensembl. Lineage: Eukaryota; Metazoa; Chordata; Actinopteri; Salmoniformes; Salmonidae.